This 205-nucleotide ribosomal RNA is filed under the name Favella ehrenbergii. Its description in RNAcentral is "partial Eukaryotic large subunit ribosomal RNA". It matches the Rfam family "Eukaryotic large subunit ribosomal RNA", at positions 2977 to 3182 of the family's 3401-position model. Lineage: Eukaryota; Ciliophora; Spirotrichea; Tintinnida; Xystonellidae. The record is from RNAcentral.
GACAGGUUAGUUUUACCCUACUGAUGAAGUUGUUGUCGUACCAGUAGUUCAGGUUAGUACGAGAGGAACCUUUGGACCGCAUCAUUGGUAACGCGGUUGUCUGAAAAGUCAAUGCCGCAAAGCUAUCAUGCGUUCGUUCAGGGCUGAACGCCUCUAAGUCCGAAACGAUGCUGAAGGCGAUGAUAUUACAUGCUUGAUUAGUUAC